This 468-nucleotide ribosomal RNA is filed under the name uncultured bacterium. Its description in RNAcentral is "partial 16S ribosomal RNA". It matches the Rfam family "Bacterial small subunit ribosomal RNA", at positions 28 to 507 of the family's 1533-position model. The record is from RNAcentral.
GACGAACGCUGGCGGCGUGCUUAACACAUGCAAGUCGAACGGAAAGGCCCUGCUUUUGUGGGGUGCUCGAGUGGCGAACGGGUGAGUAACACGUGAGUAACCUGCCCUUGACUUUGGGAUAACUUCAGGAAACUGGGGCUAAUACCGGAUAGGAGCUCCUGCUGCAUGGUGGGGGUUGGAAAGUUUCGGCGGUUUGGGAUGGACUCGCGGCUUAUCAGCUUGUUGGUGGGGUAGUGGCUUACCAAGGCUUUGACGGGUAGCCGGCCUGAGAGGGUGACCGGCCACAUUGGGACUGAGAUACGGCGCAGACUCCUACGGGAGGCAGCAGUGGGGAAUAUUGCACAAUGGGCGGAAGCCUGAUGCAGCAACGCCGCGUGCGGGAUGACGGCCUUCGGGUUGUAAACCGCUUUCGCCUGUGACGAAGCGUGAGUGACGGUAGUGGGUAAAGAAGCACCGGCUAACUACGUG